UCAAGUUUACAUUAAAUGUCAACUGCUAUCUUUUGCAGCAGCCCAUUUAUUAGUUGCUGUAUGCCUGCUUUCAAACCAGGUUUGUUGGCAGGGGCGGUUCUUGGGCCCGGCCAGGGUGGGCACAUGCCCAGGCUCGGGCCCAAUAAUUUUUUUGGGUAUGUGGCUAAAAAAGCCAAAAAAAAAAAUUAAAAAGAAAAAGAAAAAAGAGUGAACGAAACGAAACUCGGAAGGGGAAAAAGCUCCGCACAACAUCUCCCUCCAUCGUCGUCGCCUCCGCCAGGCUGCCACUACACCUCCCCGUCUCCUCCCUCCACCACCGCAGUUCAUAACCGUCGGUCUCCUUCCUCCUCCAGGGCUCCGCCAUUUCCGUGCCUCUGCUUUUUCACCUUAGCUUGUUGAAUUUCCCUCUAUCUCACUACAUUAGGAGAAGAAGCGGUUAACAUUGCAUUAGCGACUGUACUUUCUUCUCAUGAUGUUAUCUUGCCUCAGUAUCGGGGGCCUGGAGUUCUAUUAUGGCAUUGUUAUUGUGGAGACGGAAUUACUAGUGAGGGAGAUUUUCACGCUGCUAUGAACUUUGCAGCAGUAAUGGAUGCACCAUUUGUUUUCAUGUGCCGUAACAACGGAUGGGCCAUCAGUACCCCUGUCGAAGAACAAUUUCAAAGUACUCUAUACAAAUUCUGUCUACUUAAGUUGCUUAUUCCAACAAGCUCUAUAACAUUCUCAAGUCUAUAUGAUUAGCUUUGGUGUUUUGAUUAGGUGAUGGUAUUGUGGUGAAAGAUCAAAGUGCAAAGAAGUCUCGGAAAUGACAUUUGUCUCGUGAUUUUAUUUAACACACUAUUGUAAGGUUA
This is a long non-coding RNA of Vicia villosa (hairy vetch), 848 nucleotides long. RefSeq lists it as uncharacterized. The transcript has 4 exons. The record is from RefSeq and is a predicted model, not a curated record. NCBI's taxonomy places the organism in Eukaryota, Viridiplantae, Streptophyta, Magnoliopsida, Fabales, Fabaceae.